Molecule: long non-coding RNA, 1372 nt
Organism: Acanthaster planci (crown-of-thorns starfish)
Lineage: Eukaryota; Metazoa; Echinodermata; Asteroidea; Valvatida; Acanthasteridae
Source: RefSeq, a predicted model, not a curated record
CCAUUCAGCACAAAGGGGAAGCCAAAAACAGACACAAAGAAAACCAGGACGGGAAUUGCACAAACUGGGUAGGGCAGCAGUUGACAGCCGCAAACAGAGUUCAACAGAAGUACCAUCACAGAGAGAAUCAGAGUACGUUAUUUAGUGCAAGAAGACAACAAGGUAACACCAGUAUGCGAAAGAUGCGUGAUGUCGAAGAAGGAUGGACACUGGCAGUCCCCGAUGAAAGACUGACACCCUACUCCCAACGGGAUGUAGUAGAAUCAGGGCCGGAGGUUGGCAAUCUGCACAACCGUAAUAAAACCACCUAUCGGCCUGUGGUCCUAUCAGUCAAAUUCGCAGCAAACCAUCCUGUCACCAUAACAUGGAAAGUUGAUGGCAAUAUCCUAGAGACGAUAACAGAUUGUUGCCGGUGGUCAAGAACCGAACUUGAAUUGAGUAGCCUGUGGCUUCAGAGGCAUCUGGAUAACAAUUACGAAGUCACCAUACUCGAUCAAGAGAUGAACGAGAGGAAUGGCAUCAACCCCGUGAGGACCUCCUGCAAAGUCUGCAUUAACUAAGGAAGACGGUCUCGAAUUCAGUGCUGCCUGGUCCCAGCCUUGCGACUUCGUUGGACUUUGGAUUGGAGUCCGCUGAUUCGGAUCCUGUGAUGGGGGGGUGGACUUGACCGAGGUUUGCUGGCGGGACUCAACUAUAUGCAAUCAAAUCAUUUCCUCAGUGGCAAACCCACUUUCUUAGUUAUUUCUUUCAAUCUUUUUAAUACUUAUGAUACCAUUUUGAGGUUUAAAAGCUAUUAUCAAAUUGCUUUCUGACCAAACAGUUUUUUAAAUGCAAAGAUCGCACGAUGCGAAAAAAUCUCCAAACACUAAACCUGAUCAAAGUGCGGUGGAUAACAGCAAGUGAAGUCCAAUAUGAUGAAUAAAUGUAAUGACUAUUACAUAAUGGUUUAGAUGUGUUGACACACCUAUACAAAGACAAAAUUACAAAGAGACUUCAAAAAAUGCUGCACGUGCCACUUUUCAAGUUGAAGUCAUAACUUUCGUACAUAGCCUUAGCCAUGGAGUGGUGACACUGUGGGCUACUGAAAUAAAGUAAUACUUCACUGUGAAAUAAAAUCUGCCCUCGGUGCGCAAGGUCGAGAGUACAUUCACUGUAUCCACGUUAUCGGCUUUUUUUAAAAAUGGAAGUCCAUGAUGGAAGGGCUUGGGAUUUAAAAUAAAUCUACGGUGACAGAUACCCGAAGUGGCAGUAUAUCAGAUGGAAAACGAAACGGGCAAAGUGUCAAUUCUAUUUUGUGCUCCAUAGGACUUAUAAAUUACAUUAUUCCACUUCUUUCUGAAAAACGACGGAAACUUUCUUAGGCAGGACUGUG